GCCUUCGUGGUGUAGUGGUCAGCACGCUGGACGUGUAACCAAGAGGUCCGUGGUUCGAUUCCCGACGAAGGCA
Molecule: transfer RNA, 73 nt
Filed under: Stegodyphus mimosarum
Lineage: Eukaryota; Metazoa; Arthropoda; Arachnida; Araneae; Eresidae
Rfam family: tRNA
About the family: Transfer RNA (tRNA) molecules are approximately 80 nucleotides in length. Their secondary structure includes four short double-helical elements and three loops (D, anti-codon, and T loops).
Source: Rfam by way of RNAcentral